CCUACGGGAGGCAGCAGUGGGGAAUAUUGCACAAUGGGGGAAACCCUGAUGCAGCGACGCCGCGUGAGUGAAGAAGUAAUUCGUUACGUAAAGCUCUAUCAGCAGGGAAGAAACACUGACCUUACGGUCAGCAGACGGUACCUGAGUAAGAAGCCCCGGCUAACUACGUGCCAGCAGCCGCGGUAAUACGUAGGGGGCAAGCGUUAUCCGGAUUUACUGGGUGUAAAGGGAGCGUAGACGGUUAGCCAAGUCUGAAGUGAAAGGCCAGGGCUUAACUAUGGAACUGCUUUGGAAACUGGAGAACUAGAGUGCAGGAGGGGUAAGCGGAAUUCCUAGUGUAGCGGUGAAAUGCGUAGAUAUUAGGAGGAACACCAGUGGCGAAGGCGGCUUACUGGACCGUAACUGACGUUGAGGCUCGAAGGCGUGGGGAGCAAACAGGAUUAGAUACCCGUGUAGUC
RNAcentral lists this ribosomal RNA (458 nucleotides) under uncultured bacterium. RNAcentral describes it as "partial 16S ribosomal RNA". It matches the Rfam family "Bacterial small subunit ribosomal RNA", at positions 338 to 795 of the family's 1533-position model. The record is from RNAcentral.